CCUACGGGAGACAGCAGUAGGGAAUCUUCCACAAUGGGCGAAAGCCUGAUGGAGCAACGCCGCGUGGGUGAAGAAGGUCUUCGGAUCGUAAAACCCUGUUGUUAGAGAAGAAAGUGCGUGAGAGUAACUGUUCACGUUUCGACGGUAUCUAACCAGAAAGCCACGGCUAACUACGUGCCAGCAGCCGCGGUAAUACGGAGGUGGCAAGCGUUAUCCGGAUUUAUUGGGCGUAAAGGGAACGCAGGCGGUCUUUUAAGUCUGAUGUGAAAGCCUUCGGCUUAACCGGAGUAGUGCAUGGGAAACUGGGAGACGUGAGUGCAGAAGAGGAGAGUGGAACUCCAUGUGUAGCGGUGAAAUGCGUAGAUAUAUGGAAGAACACCAGUGGCGAAGGCGGCUCUCUGGUCUGUAACUGACGCUGAGGUUCGAAAGCGUGGGUAGCAAACAGGAUUAGAUACCCUAGUAGUC
Molecule: ribosomal RNA, 465 nt
Filed under: uncultured bacterium
Lineage: Bacteria
Description: partial 16S ribosomal RNA
Rfam family: Bacterial small subunit ribosomal RNA
Source: RNAcentral